This 277-nucleotide ribosomal RNA is filed under the name uncultured Clostridiaceae bacterium. Its description in RNAcentral is "partial 16S ribosomal RNA". It matches the Rfam family "Bacterial small subunit ribosomal RNA", at positions 523 to 802 of the family's 1533-position model. The record is from RNAcentral. Lineage: Bacteria; Bacillati; Bacillota; Clostridia; Eubacteriales; Clostridiaceae.
AUACGUAUGGAGCGAGCGUGUCCGGAAUUUUGGGCGUAAAGGGUGCGCAGGCGGCUUACAAGUUGGAUGUGAAAUAUUGUGGCUCAACCACAAACGUGCAUCCAAAACUGCAAAGCUUGAGUUAAGGAGAGGUAAGUGGAAUUCCUGGUGUAGCGGUGGAAUGCGUAGAUAUCAGGAGGAAUACCGGUGGCGAAGGCGACUUACUGGACUUAAACUGACGCUCAGGCACGAAAGCGUGGGGAGCAAACAGGAUUAGAUACCCUGGUAGUCAAGGGCG